Molecule: small nuclear RNA, 104 nt
Organism: Cucurbita maxima (winter squash)
Lineage: Eukaryota; Viridiplantae; Streptophyta; Magnoliopsida; Cucurbitales; Cucurbitaceae
Source: RefSeq, a predicted model, not a curated record
AUUCGCUCCCUUAUAGGAUAUCUGAAAAAAUUGGAACGAUACAAAAAAGAUUAGCACGGCCCCUAUGCAAGGAUGACACACACAAGAAAUGGUAUCCUAGUCGU